AGUUUGAGCUGCCACGUGAGUACAGAAACCGGUUCUUACACGUAGAUGAACUACGGGAAUGGAGAAGAUAUCGUGACUGGCUCAGGUUCUGGACACAAAUCUCCCUAUUUGCUCUGAUUGCUUUCAGUAUAGCAUCAUUUUGCUCCCGUCAGCUGGUGGCAUUACGGAGGCGUUGCUGUCCAAGGCGCCGCACGAAAAUGAGUGAAGUUGCGGAAAAGGUUCAGCAUGUAUGACUAACCAAAAAGAAAGACUCGUAAAAAAAGAACUAAAAAACCUGUACAGUGCUUGUCCGUGCCAUCAAAUGGUAGCGGU
Molecule: long non-coding RNA, 312 nt
Organism: Patiria miniata (bat star)
Lineage: Eukaryota; Metazoa; Echinodermata; Asteroidea; Valvatida; Asterinidae
Exons: 3
Source: RefSeq, a predicted model, not a curated record